CAAGAUAGAUUUCUUUUAGAUUUGGUUUAAUGUAAACCGAGUUGGAAAAAGUUUUGUGGUUUGAUUUUAUUUUUUAAUUUCUUGUUUAGUUUUUUAAACCGGAGUGUAUUUGUAAACCAAUUUUAAUUUAUAAAUAAAAUUUAUUUUAUUCUAAAUUGUAAAACAAUUUUGGUUUAAUUUUCAAUUAUUUUAUUUUUAUUUUUAAUUAUAAUUAAUUUUAGUUUAUUGUAGAAAGAUCUAUCAUAGUACGAAAGUAAUGUUAAAGUAAAUAAUAUCAUCCAAAUAUUGCUAUCAUAUCUGUACAUUUCGUAGCGUUCAAAAAAUACGAUCAUAAGGGGAUACCUACGAUGACAUUGCAUGUAUGAA
RNAcentral lists this long non-coding RNA (366 nucleotides) under Brassica rapa (field mustard). RNAcentral describes it as "long non-coding RNA (BRAP_LNC000291)". The record is from RNAcentral. Lineage: Eukaryota; Viridiplantae; Streptophyta; Magnoliopsida; Brassicales; Brassicaceae.